Molecule: ribosomal RNA, 347 nt
Filed under: uncultured bacterium
Lineage: Bacteria
Description: bacterial SSU rRNA
Rfam family: Bacterial small subunit ribosomal RNA
Source: RNAcentral
CGCGGGGGCAACCCUGGCGACGAGAGGCGGACGGGUGAGUAACGCUUGGGAAUCUGCCCAUCAGCGGGGGACAACCCGGGGAAACUCGGGCUAAUACCGCAUACGCUCUACGGAGGAAAGCCGGGGACCGCAAGGCCUGGCACUGACGGAUGAGCCCAAGCCGGAUUAGCUAGUUGGCGGGGUAACGGCCCACCAAGGCGACGAUCCGUAGCUGGUCUGAGAGGACGAUCAGCCACACCGGAACUGAGACACGGUCCGGACUCCUACGGGAGGCAGCAGUGGGGAAUAUUGGACAAUGGGGGAAACCCUGAUCCAGCGACGCCGCGUGGGUGAAGAAGGCCUGCGGG